UCGUGGGCUGGUGGCUCCCACUAGCCCCUCACACACACGCCUGCUGGGCACCUGGGUGUGUGUCCUUGGACCCCGCCUACAGCCUGCCCUCUUUCCUCCCUCUGGCCACUGCCCGGCUCCAGUUCUUCACCUGCCUGGUCAUCCUGUUUGCCUGUGAGGUGGCCGCCGGCAUCUGGGGCUUUGUCAACAAGGACCAGAUCGCCAAGGAUGUGAAGCAGUUCUAUGACCAGGCCCUACAGCAGGCUGUGGUGGAUGACGACGCCAACAACGCCAAGGCUGUGGUGAAGACCUUCCAUGAGACGCUUGACUGCUGUGGCUCCAGCACGCUGACUGCUCUGACCACCUCAGUGCUCAAGAACAACUUGUGUCCCUCGGGCAGCAACAUCAUCAGCAACCUCUUCAAGGAGGACUGCCACCAGAAGAUCGAUGACCUCUUCUCCGGGAAGCUGUACCUCAUCGGCAUUGCUGCUAUCGUGGUCGCCGUGAUCAUGAUCUUCGAGAUGAUCCUGAGCAUGGUGCUGUGCUGUGGCAUCCGGAACAGCUCCGUGUACUGAGGCCCCGCAGCUCUGGCCGCAGGGACCUCUGCAGUGCCCCCCAAGUGACCCGGACACUUCCGAGGGGCCAUCACCGCCUGUGUAUAUAACGUUUCCGGUAUUACUCUGCUACACGUAGCCUUUUUACUUUUGAGGUUUUUUGUUCUGAACUUUCCUGUUACCUUUUCAGGACUGACGUCACAUGUAGGUGGCGUGUGUGAGUGGAGACGGGCCUGGGUCUUGGGGACUGGAGGGCAGGGGUCCUUCUGCCCCUGGGGUCCCAGGGUGCUCUGCCUGUUCAGCCAGGCCUCUCCUGGGAGCCACUCGCCCAGAGACUCAGCUUGGCCAACCUGGGGGGCUGUGUCCACCCAGCCCCCCCGCCCUGUGGGCUGCACAGCUCACC
This 936-nucleotide small RNA is filed under the name Pongo abelii (Sumatran orangutan). Its description in RNAcentral is "retained intron". Lineage: Eukaryota; Metazoa; Chordata; Mammalia; Primates; Hominidae. The record is from RNAcentral.